Molecule: transfer RNA, 71 nt
Filed under: Prunella montanella
Lineage: Eukaryota; Metazoa; Chordata; Aves; Passeriformes; Prunellidae
Description: tRNA-Leu
Rfam family: tRNA
About the family: Transfer RNA (tRNA) molecules are approximately 80 nucleotides in length. Their secondary structure includes four short double-helical elements and three loops (D, anti-codon, and T loops).
Source: RNAcentral
GCUUUCAAAGGAUAAUAGCAAUCCCAUGGUCUUAGGAGCCAUUCAUCUUGGUGCAAAUCCAAGUGAAAGCA